AAUUUACAUCUACUAAUGCUUGUUGUGUAAUGACCCGUGCAUUACGACAGAUAGAUACCGUUAAAAUAAAAAUUUGUAAAAAAUAAAAUAUCAGUUUAAUACAAAAAUGAUAAAUAUACUCUAUAUUAUAGACAAAUUUUUUUUUAAAAAAAAACUAUAAUAAAAUAAAUCGUUUCAACAAAACUAUUAAACAUUAUUCAAGAAAAGUAGUAUAUUAUACAAAUGGGCGAUUAAAAUUAUUUAUGUAACGCAAUAAUCAAAUGCGAAAAAAAAGAGAAAAAAAUAGGUCCCACUCUUUUCCAAAUUAAGGGAUUGAGUAUAUGUAGGAUAUAGCUAUGAGGAUUAAUGUAUAGGUAUAGUUAUAGAUAAGGGCGUGUUUGGAUCCAUGUAAAAUGAGUCCGAAAAUUUUUUUUCAGUUGAAAAAUAGUUUUCCAUUGUUCGUUUCUUUGUAAA
Molecule: long non-coding RNA, 453 nt
Filed under: Ananas comosus (pineapple)
Lineage: Eukaryota; Viridiplantae; Streptophyta; Magnoliopsida; Poales; Bromeliaceae
Description: long non-coding RNA (ACOM_LNC004608)
Source: RNAcentral